GAUCUAGUGAAAUUCAUGGAGCGUACAACAUGCAACAAAAAACAUAGUUUAUUUCUGUAUACUGUUUUAUUCUUUUGUGUGAGUGGUGUAAUACCAUAAAUUAUUAUAAAGCCAUGUUUCAAUGAAAAUGUAAAGAAAUCAGACGUCUGGCACAUCAUGAAAAUAAUGGCUUUGAUGGUGUUGCAUCCUGCCUUUUUUAGUAUAGUAUAGUCUAAGUAUCGGCAGCCUACACACUGUACGCUCUGUGCAUGUUAGCAUCGCUCCUUUUAUAGUUAUUUGCAGACAUAGUCUUUGAGAUAACUAUAUUAUUUCAGUCUGUCUGGCACACGCAGUCAGAGAAUUUUAUAACCCAAUCUUACCUCUGGUGAUGUAUUUGUCUUUUCCCCAGGCUGCAUCCUUGAAUAUUGCAGUGCAAAGAUACUCAACUGCACCGUCACUCAGUACGCUGACCAAACAGUCUGCAACAUCUCAGACAGUGAGCUUGUCUCAGGUGCUGCGGCAACCACCCCUGUGUACACAUGGGCCAACGCAAGUGGCUAUGUGCUUGCAAACAACUAUGACAAAUCUCCCGAGCAGGUGUUGAGACAAAACCUCACCGUUCUCGUCACCUCAAAAUGCAUUGAUGAGAUCGUCUUCAAGUGUCACCCAGAUUCACAGCCGGAAGCAUACGAGGCUUACUGCCGCAUCAACUGCACUCAAAAAGCUCAAAUGUUUCGGAACAACAAAGAGCACAUCUGGAUCGUUCUUGUCACAGUAAUCCUUUCGCUGGUGGUGUUUGGUGUCAUAUUCUGCAAAUUCAGAGACAACAUUUCCAGGAUAUGCAGCUGUUGCCCACUGAGACGCUUUUACAAUUCUGUGACAAUGCAGGACGUUGACACAAAGGAAGCUGACGCUGAAGCAGGGAAGGUGUAGAAAGACGUUUAUCUAUCUACAAGGCACGUUUUUAUCAAACUUAGAUUUUCACUUGAUCUGUUACCGCUGUGGCAUAGUUUGAAACAUUUUCAAUGCCUGAGACUGUGCCCUCCAUUUUUAGCUUAUCAUCUCAAUGUAUUAUAUCUACUUCUGCAUCAUGACAUGCUGUAUUUAUUCAGGCUUUCCAUGGUGUUUCCCUGCAUUAUUUUAGUAGCAGUGUGCUUUCAUUACUGUAUUGUGUCUGCUGCACUACUCUUACAUUUAGGAAAAAUUAUUGUGGUGAGCCGUUCUUUAGGGAACCAUCAAUUUCCAGUUUGACACAAAGCGAUUCCUGCUGAAAUCCAUAUUUCAGCUAUGGGAUACAAAAUAUACAUCAUGUCAUGGUAUAAUUAUGUUAGUCACAAAGGAUUGGGUUAGUAGGUGAAACACCUAUUAGCGAAACAUCGUUGUAAGGUUCAUACAACCCCCAUCCACAACUACCAUAAUGUCAACAUGCCACUGCUGCAAGAACGAGUUCCAGGGAAACACGUUUUUUAUACAUACGUAUGUUUUUGCUUUUAUAUAUAAUCUAAGGCUAAGUCUUGAGUUACCCUUUUGCCAAGUAUCUGCGCUUUAAGCUUUCUUCACUCUGUCAUGGUUCCUAGGACACAUUUAUCAGUGUCCGUAUACAGACAUAUACUGUGUGUGACUGCACCUAUGCAAAACUGUCCCUUUAAAGAAGCGUCCCUCACUAAUCUUGUUCACAUGUGGCCUUUUAUCAGGGUUAUGUUGAUCGGAAAGCUUUUACACAUUAAAAAGUAAAUUUUGAAGACUAACGCCCAGUAGCAAUAUUGUAACCCCACCAAGAUCCACUCCGGACCCCCAUAUUGGUGUUAACAUGACUUGUAAUGCCCUUUCAGUGUUCUGUUGCAUAACAGCAGCCCCCCUUGAUGUUUAUCUGAAGUUUAAAAUACAUAAA
Non-coding RNA from Plectropomus leopardus (leopard coralgrouper), 1870 nucleotides. The record is from RefSeq and is a predicted model, not a curated record. NCBI's taxonomy places the organism in Eukaryota, Metazoa, Chordata, Actinopteri, Perciformes, Serranidae.